ACAUCAAUACUCCAAAGUCCAGUCAGAAACUUUUUCUAAGAAAUGUGAAUGAUGUAUCGAGAAAAAAAUCAGAACAAAUAUAAAUGUAUGAGUCGGCUCUUCCUUAGCACUCUUGAAUAAUUUCUUCCUCGUCAAGAAGCUCUUCCAAUGUGAUUUUUUGGUUCAAGUCAGAAAAAAAUAAUUUCUCUUUAGCUCAAAUCUUCGACAAAAUCCACCUAGUUUUACCUUUGAGUGGUUCCUUCGACCUUUCUCUUUUUCCAGAAAGUCCUUGAUUUUGUAGUGAAGUCUUCUCUCAUGAAAUCCAUCUCAGCUGUUCCCAAGAAUUUAAGAAACUGUUACCCUACACACAUACUAUGAGAC
Molecule: long non-coding RNA, 360 nt
Filed under: Brassica napus (rape)
Lineage: Eukaryota; Viridiplantae; Streptophyta; Magnoliopsida; Brassicales; Brassicaceae
Description: long non-coding RNA (BNAP_LNC011890)
Source: RNAcentral